GCCAAUCUCAGUUCGGAUUGGAGUCUGCAACCCGACUCCAUGAAGCUGGAUUCGCUAGUAAUCGCGCAUCAGCCACGGCGCGGUGAAUACGUUCCCGGGCCUUGUACACACCGCCCGUCAAGCCAUGGAAGCCGGGAGUGCCUGAAGUGCGUGAGCGCAAGCAGCGCCCUAAGGUAAAACCGGUGACUGGGGCUAAGUCGUAACAAGGUAUC
RNAcentral lists this ribosomal RNA (212 nucleotides) under uncultured bacterium. RNAcentral describes it as "partial 16S ribosomal RNA". It matches the Rfam family "Bacterial small subunit ribosomal RNA", at positions 1281 to 1500 of the family's 1533-position model. The record is from RNAcentral.